Long non-coding RNA from Sander lucioperca (pikeperch), 3100 nucleotides. The record is from Ensembl. Lineage: Eukaryota; Metazoa; Chordata; Actinopteri; Perciformes; Percidae.
UUUCAUUCGUGUACUGUUUUGUCAUGUUAGUUUUAAUCUCUGAUCUCUUGAUAUGUGUUAUAAAUUGCAGCUGAGGAAGACACCAACACUGGAGGAGUGGCUUCAAGAGUCAGAAAUUAACACAAAUUCUUCAUAUUCCCAUAACACCAGUGGUGGGUCAGUGUCGCAGAGCAAUUUAUUCAUAGGACCGAAGGAUAGUCUUUCGCUCUCACCACCCGGAAGAAAAGAGCAGGAUGGUGUUUCUCUUCCACCGUUGACAUCAACUACAUAUAGUGCCUUUUUCACUUCUAAUGUGACACCUCAGCAAAGUUACCAGGAAAGAUGCCUUAUUGACCAACAUUACAACCAACAUGGAUCACAGCCAAGUUCCCUUAAUGGCGUAAGCCACCAGUCAGUAUCCUCCGGCUACUUGACCUUUGAGAGGUUUGAAAACACCACCAGUGUCUCUGAAAGGAUUCAUGCAGAGAGAGAGAGCCAUGGCUUUGGCUCCUCAGACGGAGCUUAUGAAAAUAAUAUAGGUGGCUUUUUCCUUCACAACACCUCAAACACAAUCGCCAAGAUGCCAGAUAUUAUUAGCCACCCUCCCAUAGAUGGAGAGGAAUUAGAAAGGAGUGGACUGGAAUCAUCUAUUUGUAAUAACAUUAUAGUAGUAAAAGACAUGUGUUGCGCCUUGCUCCAGGAGGAUUCAGUCAUAUGUGACCAUUUACCAAUAGAGAAAUCUGAUAGCAGUCAUCUGGACAGCACAGAGGGUGAAGUUAACCUUCCCUUUACCACAGUACUUGACACUGAAGAAGAUCACAGUUUGGACAGAAUUGAGGGCCCAGUCUCUUCAUCAGAAAACAGUGACAUUUCAGACAACCUAGAGUCAUCACAGACAUCAAGCACUCAUCGCAUUCCAACGACAGAGCUGCCAAUUCCACACGACCCCAGAGAAUCAGAUCCAGCGGACAACCAUGUAGACGAAGCAAAGCCAUCUGAGGAGCCUUAUCGUCUGAGCCUCCAGGCCUUGCUGAAGAAAUCUCAGGAGUAUCGGCGGCGCCAGCGGAUGCUUAGGAACCAAGCCAAAAACACUAAAAUUCAGGAGAGGACCCAAGAACAGACAAGAGCAAGGGCGGAGGAGCAGAGCCUCUCUGAUAAGGAGAAUGACGAGUUCCCUUACAAGGGGACUGUGACUGCAGGUGGGAAGAAAACUAAAGAGAGGAGAAGCACUCUUUUCCCGUCGGUGGAAACGUCGCAAAAUAAAUCUUGGGAAAAUGAGAGUGAGAAUGAGUUUUUUGGGGAAAAGGCUAACUUUAAAUCUGAAAGCUCCCACUUAACAGGAGAUGGAAAUCCUAAGGAAACAACUAGUGUUGAGGAGGAAACAAUCCUCAAAAAUAAUAAGCUGAACAUUUCACAAGAGGUCAUAACGGAGCCUCAACAAAUCAGCGCCUUCCCCCAGCAACAGCAGCCCACGUCAAAAGAGACCUCGCCUGUUCAGGAAGCCUUUUACUUGACCACCUGUCCCGCAGCUUUUUAUAGUGGAGUAGGGAAAUAUCACACUAUCCCAGCCCCUAAUUUCUGUAGGAGUCCUGUGCACCGCAAAAGCAAAGGCAGUAUCCAAGAUGGAGAUGAUGGAGACGAUGGAGAAGCUGUCAAUGUGGCCAAGACCUCAAAGAGGAAAGUUUUGGUCGAUACCGGUUUGAUUGAAGACCACAAGGUUGAUGAAGUAAACCUGGGACAUAAAAACAGUAAGUCAGCAGUUCCUUUCACUGUGAAUGUCAUGGUUGAAGGUGACGUAACAAGCGUUUCAGCCAGGAGUUCACAGCACAUAGAUCAGCUUGAGUCCAACCUGUCCAGUCUGAAAGUAAUGAUCUCUGAUCUGGAGUCCACACUGACAGGAAACUUGAAGAAUCACAGCCAAACUGAGAGCAACACUCGCAGCGAGGUCACUUUUAAAGGCAUCAAGCACUCCCGUCAAAGGGAUUGUGACUACUGGGAGGACAAACCGAGGAAUGAUGAUGGUAGCAAUGAAGCAGAGCAAGACCAAAGGUACAGAGAGUGGCAGAGAAGACAGUUAUUAGACAAUUUCAAGAACAUGCAGGAAGAUACAGAAACUGACCUGAGCAUUAGUGACACAGACAAUGUUUCUGUCAUAAUGCAGGUAAAAGAAACUGAGGCAGUUAACGUAAGCGAGCUCAGGCUAGUCAAAACCUUAGCAACAGAGAGAGCAAAGGAAAAAGGGACAUGUAAUGAAGGGCUUGCAAAGAGUUACGGACAGCGUGGCGGCAGUAGAAAGCCCACAGCGAAAUGCAUCCUCUCUGUCACACAGCAGCAGCGAAUUCCCGAUGUAUUCAGAAAUGUUCCAUCUGCAACCACGGCUUCACCUAACGUCUCGGUGCCUUUGGAUACCAGUAACCAUCCAGUGGAAAGUAGGAACGAGACAGCUGCAGAUGGUCACGACUCUACCUGCUCGCCAUCUAUCAACCAGUCGUAUGAUGUGGAGGCACCGUCUGGCCUGUGGCUCCUCGAAGGGUCAGGGUCCGACAUGGGCUCAAAAGGUCAUCUUGUUCAAGAGAAACAUCUGACCCCAGAGAGUGGGGGUGAAAGCCAGGGCGGGGUAUCCAAAGUCAAACGGAGGCUGCUCAUGCACGUGACAGAGGAGACCGGGGAAAGGAGUGCAGAUGUCAGCAGAGGAGCAACCUCUGUGGUCAGACCCAACGCCAGCACUCCUAGAGAUGCACAGCCUUUAGCUGCAGUGCGGUGGUACGAAGGUCGUGGCGGUCAAGAAAAGCAGGAACAACUGAAACAGACCCAUGCUGCUCAGGUCAGAGCCCUGCAAGAGGAGCACAGGAGACAACAGGAAGAACUACUGCAGGCAUUGGCAGCGCGUUACCGUCUCCUCCAGAGCGUGUCCUUCCCUUGCUCCAUGUCAAGCUCACGUCUUGGGGACACGUUGGCCAUUUCUACCAUCUCUCAGCCCUCCAGCCCACUCUCAGGGCGCUGCCGCCCCCUGCUGUUAGCAGCUGUGAAAGGUUUUCUAGCUCGCAGGCUGCUGAAGACUGAGAGAGUGGCGCAGCUGGUGCGCACCAUCAGGGUGAGUAGAGACGGAAGGGUCACGUGA